GACAGAGGAUGCAAGCGUUAUCCGGAAUGAUUGGGCGUAAAGCGUCUGUAGGUGGCUUUUUAAGUCCGCCGUCAAAUCCCAGGGCUCAACCCUGGACAGGCGGUGGAAACUACCAAGCUGGAGUACGGUAGGGGCAGAGGGAAUUUCCGGUGUAGUGGUGAAAUGCGUAGAGAUCGGCAGGAACACCCAGGGGGAAACCAGUCGACUGGGCAUCUACUGACGCUGAGGUGCGAGAGCGUGGGGAGCGAACCGG
RNAcentral lists this ribosomal RNA (253 nucleotides) under uncultured bacterium. RNAcentral's name for it is "partial 16S ribosomal RNA". It matches the Rfam family "Bacterial small subunit ribosomal RNA", at positions 524 to 776 of the family's 1533-position model. The record is from RNAcentral.